This 169-nucleotide unclassified non-coding RNA is filed under the name soil metagenome. RNAcentral's name for it is "partial internal transcribed spacer 1". The record is from RNAcentral.
CAAGAGUAUUUCAGUUUGGCUUUAUGCCCUCUGAAAAUCUCCACCCUUUGUUUACAUUACCUUUGUUGUUGCCUCGGUGGGUGCUUUCUAGCACCUGCCGGCAGACACCUUCAAAACCCUUGAUUUAAUACUAUAGUCAGAGCUGUAACAAGCAAAGAUUAAUAAAUCA